This 65-nucleotide transfer RNA is filed under the name Dipodomys ordii (Ord's kangaroo rat). It matches the Rfam family "tRNA". From Rfam's summary of the family: Transfer RNA (tRNA) molecules are approximately 80 nucleotides in length. Their secondary structure includes four short double-helical elements and three loops (D, anti-codon, and T loops). Further hydrogen bonds mediate the characteristic L-shaped molecular structure. tRNAs have two regions of fundamental functional importance: the anti-codon, which is responsible for specific mRNA codon recognition, and the 3' end, to which the tRNAs corresponding amino acid is attached (by aminoacyl-tRNA synthetases). tRNAs cope with the degeneracy of the genetic code in two manners: having more than one tRNA (with a specific anti-codon) for a particular amino acid; and 'wobble' base-pairing, i.e. permitting non-standard base-pairing at the 3rd anti-codon position. The record is from Rfam by way of RNAcentral. Lineage: Eukaryota; Metazoa; Chordata; Mammalia; Rodentia; Heteromyidae.
GGUGGCUCAGUGGUAGAGUGCUUGCCUUGUGUGCAUGAGAUCCUGGGUUCGAUUCCUCAGCACCA